ACGUAAUUCGAGAAGACUACGCUGAGCAAUGACCGCUUUACGCUCCUGUUCAACACCAGCCUGAGCCCUUUCGUAGGCAGCCUCGGCUUGUUGCUUGCGUAAAAGGCAGAAAUCGGUAUCAAAACGCAUCAAAACACUAGAAAGGGAUUUGGCAAUCCGCGUAAGUUGAGAUGUAAUUAAUUCAGAUGGAGUAGAUUGAAGAGAAACAGAAUCCGAAGACUUAAUGGGAUUAGAAAACAAGUCAGAAGAAAAGCUAAUGGAAUUUUCAAUAUGGUUCAAACGAAUAGAAAAUGCACCUUUCUUGUUACCAUUCAUAAUGAAUUUCUCAAUUUGACCAGGGUUAAAAUCGUAAGGCUCCUCGAAUGUAGCAAGGUCCAUAACAUAUUUCAAUGAAAUGGAAUCAUAAACUUGAGACAGUUGUUGGAAAAGACGAGUAAGAAUAACCUGUUGUAAAGGACGAAUGUAUUGAGCAGUAUCAUUACUUUCUGCCAAUCUUUUGAUGAUAGGCUGAAGUUUUUUGCAAAUGCUCAAUGGAUGAAACUCAACUUCCAAAAUCUGGUACAAAUCACGGAUAGCCUGAUCACAGAAAGA
Non-coding RNA from Schizosaccharomyces pombe (fission yeast), 591 nucleotides. NCBI's taxonomy places the organism in Eukaryota, Fungi, Ascomycota, Schizosaccharomycetes, Schizosaccharomycetales, Schizosaccharomycetaceae. The record is from the annotation of a GenBank genome assembly.